CCUUUUUUUUCUCGUUUUCUGUUUGUUGUUGCCUCUGCACAUUUUCUACGAUUCGUAGGAAACUCUACGUGCGUGUGUGCGUGUAAGCGGAACGCAUUCUUCGCGGUCAGCCGAUGUAGCGAGGCUAGCCGUCGAUGUGCCUUAAGACUAAGGCUGCUGCCUGAUGCCGCUUCCAGCUAUCUUCAAAAUACUUCGCUCAAGUAAAAACGAAAGCGAGCAAGGAAACACGCCAAUACGCGUGCAUCACAGGGAUAAGAAUGUGCGUGUUCUGAGGGAAUCGAACACCACUCGCCUGCACACUUACCGAACCUGUUCAGUGAAGGGGUCACACAUUGAAAGAAACGAGACUAGGCAGUUUCUUAGUUGUGUGUGUGUGUUUGCCUGUCAUGAGUGGUGUGAACUGCCGCUUGGUUCCGGCUAUGAGCUCAAACGUUUGUUUUGGAAGUUGCAUCUGAAUCGAAGACUGUGUUGGUGCUCUUCUCCCUUUCUCGUCUUUAUCUGCCCUCUGCUUGUCUGCUUCUGGCUCUGCAUCAG
This 534-nucleotide unclassified non-coding RNA is filed under the name Leishmania donovani. RNAcentral's name for it is "gene:unknown". The record is from RNAcentral. Lineage: Eukaryota; Euglenozoa; Kinetoplastea; Trypanosomatida; Trypanosomatidae.